GACGAACGCUGGCGGCGUGCCUAAUACAUGCAAGUAGAACGCUGAAGGAAGGAGCUUGCUCUUUCCGGAUGAGUUGCGAACGGGUGAGUAACGCGUAGGUAACCUGCCUGGUAGCGGGGGAUAACUAUUGGAAACGAUAGCUAAUACCGCAUAAUAGCAGUUAUUGCAUGAUAACUGUUUGAAAGGUGCAAAUGCAUCACUACCAGAUGGACCUGCGUUGUAUUAGCUAGUUGGUGGGGUAACGGCUCACCAAGGCGACGAUACAUAGCCGACCUGAGAGGGUGAUCGGCCACACUGGGACUGAGACACGGCCCAGACUCCUACGGGAGGCAGCAGUAGGGAAUCUUCGGCAAUGGACGGAAGUCUGACCGAGCAACGCCGCGUGAGUGAAGAAGGUUUUCGGAUCGUAAAGCUCUGUUGUAAGAGAAGAACGAGUGUGAGAGUGGAAAGUUCACACUGUGACG
RNAcentral lists this ribosomal RNA (464 nucleotides) under Streptococcus mitis. Its description in RNAcentral is "bacterial SSU rRNA". It matches the Rfam family "Bacterial small subunit ribosomal RNA", at positions 28 to 474 of the family's 1533-position model. The record is from RNAcentral. Lineage: Bacteria; Bacillati; Bacillota; Bacilli; Lactobacillales; Streptococcaceae.